GACGAACGCUGGCGGCGUGCUUAACACAUGCAAGUCGAGCGAUGAAGUUCCUUCGGGAACGGAUUAGCGGCGGACGGGUGAGUAACACGUGGGUAACCUGCCUCAUAGAGGGGAAUAGCCUUUCGAAAGGAAGAUUAAUACCGCAUAAGAUUGUAGUUUCGCAUGAAACAGCAAUUAAAGGAGUAAUCCGCUAUGAGAUGGACCCGCGUCGCAUCAGCUAGUUGGUGAGGUAACGGCUCACCAAGGCGACGAUGCGUAGCCGACCUGAGAGGGUGAUCGGCCACAUUGGGACUGAGACACGGCCCAGACUCCUACGGGAGGCAGCAGUGGGGAAUAUUGCACAAUGGGGGAAACCCUGAUGCAGCAACGCCGCGUGAGCGAUGACGGUCUUCGGAUUGUAAAGCUCUGUCUUCAGGGACGAUAAUGACGGUACCUGAGGAGGAAGCCACGGCUAACUACGUGCCAGCAGCCGCCGCAG
This 478-nucleotide ribosomal RNA is filed under the name uncultured bacterium. RNAcentral's name for it is "partial 16S ribosomal RNA". It matches the Rfam family "Bacterial small subunit ribosomal RNA", at positions 28 to 523 of the family's 1533-position model. The record is from RNAcentral.